AUGUGAUACAACUCGAACCGAAGAAACAUGAAGGGAAGCCUGUUCACAGAAGCUUUUGGAAAAGUUUUCUUCCAUCUCUGAGUAAUGAUAGCAAAGGAUGACUUUGGAGUUUAUUGGAGUUGUUACAACCAAGAAGGGUUAUGUGGAGGACCAAUGACACACUGUGGAUGACAAUGAUGUGAACAAUGAGCCUGAGCUCGUGGUGGUGCCUUUGAGGCACUGGAUCAACCACCCCUGACACUGUUCCACCUCUGGACUUCUUGGCAAUUGAGAUAACAUAGUGUCCUUAUUGUUUACUUGGAUUUUCUGUUAUCUGUCACCCAAAGCAUCCUUACUGAUACACAUGACCAGGGUGUGGCUUUCACCUUCAUGACCAAGACUGAUGCGAGAGAUCCAUCAUCAAACCCAUGUCCUGACAGCCAAAUACAAAACUUCAAGUUUGGUAUAAGAAAAAUGACAAUUGUCAUAAGCUGAAGAACACAACCCCCUUGAAAAGAGGCAUUGUUAUUCAGAUCCAGCAAAUUGUUGCCAGGAGACUGAAUGAAACAUCUAGAACAACUGGUAAAAGACAAACUCAUGGGUGAAGAAAAAACCUGCUUGGACUUUUUCAUAGUACACGUGGCACUCACAUGUGACAGCCCUGUUCCUACAGGCUGAGUGAACCUCCUACCAUGCUGCAGUCACCUGCAAGUGGAGUGAGCAGUGGUGUGACUGCUCACAUAUCAGAAGCUCAAGGCCACCUGUCACCUUGUGCCCAGGAUGCAACAGGCCACUGGGGCAGGCCCAUCUGAUACCGUCUUGCAUAAGAAAGAUAACUCUUAUCAUCACUCCACAAACUGAACUCGUAAAUAUAGACAGGAUUAGGUUGUGAUCAGUGCCCUGGAGUUGCCAAGACAGUGAAUUCCAGUGACAGCUCUGUCACAGGCCAGAUACUAAAUAUAUCUUCCUCAUAGUGACAAGGACAGGGUUGGGAGUACACGUGAUUCUUCCCAGUCACAAGGGGAAAAGCCCCAACCACUGUGCUCUUAGAGUCUAUUCCUGAACCAGGCUAAGGCCCAGACUGAAAAUAGAUUCCCUGUGUCCCGGCCACCUACCCUACUUGUGGCCUCCAGAUAGGAUACCAUGUAUCACGUACUAAAAAGCAGGUAGGAAGCUGUGGAGGAGGUGGCAGGACUCCUGGGCUUGUCGUGAGAGAAUUCCUUGUGUCAGGGUGGGUGUACCUUCUACCUGCCUCCUGGACUAUGGGAAAAGGAGGGAGCUCUGGGCUGGAGGGACUGAAGGGGAGGCGGGGCUGAGGGUGCUCCCUUGGCAUGUGCCAGUCUGCAGAAGGUGCCAAUCUAAUUCACUCCUAAGCAAGUCAAUGGCUGGUGACUUGUAUGUGGUCAGAUGUGCUCAUCCCUUCCCUAAUACUUCAUUUCUUCAAAUAGCAUGUGUCCAUUAGCCAGCUCAGUUAAAAUUUUAAUUUCACAGGUAUUACAUGAAUAAUUUUUGCAGUAAAAACCUUCUAACAAUACAGAAGCAUGUUGAGAAAAAAGAAAAAUUCCAUUUUUCUUUUAUCUCUCUCCAAUUGUACCUCUGUAUCCAGAAGCAGCUGCGAUCCACAGUUUGAUACGUAUCUUCCACACUUUUUCUAUGCACACAGCAUACAACACAGCACAAUACCUGCAACACACACAAUCUAGCACAGUAUAGUGCAGAAGGUUAGUACAUUGAGCAGGUCCUCAAACAUCAUUUCAUUACAACAUUGAUGAGAAAAAAAUGGUGGCAAGGCCAUGGUCUGGGUGGCAUUUGCACUUUCUCCCAUGUCUGUGUGGGUUUUCUUUGGGACUCCUGUCUCCUCCCACAUCCCAGGGAUGUGCAAGUGAGAUGAAUUGGCAUGUGUCCAUUGCCCCAGUCUGUGUGGGUGUGGUAUGUGUGUGAGUGGCCCUGUGAAGGAAGGGCAUUGUGUUCGGGGUGGGUCCCACCUUGCUCUUUGGGCUGCUCACACAGGCUCCGGCCACUGGGACCCUGAACUGGAAUA
Long non-coding RNA from Phyllostomus hastatus (greater spear-nosed bat), 2020 nucleotides. RefSeq lists it as uncharacterized. The transcript is spliced from 5 exons. Lineage: Eukaryota; Metazoa; Chordata; Mammalia; Chiroptera; Phyllostomidae. The record is from RefSeq and is a predicted model, not a curated record.